Molecule: transfer RNA, 22 nt
Filed under: Streptocarpus primulifolius
Lineage: Eukaryota; Viridiplantae; Streptophyta; Magnoliopsida; Lamiales; Gesneriaceae
Also listed under: 3 other names
Description: partial tRNA-Asp
Source: RNAcentral
CGGGACUGGCGGGGCUCGAACC